UGGGCCUAGCCCUAGGUUUUGUGCUUGAAGUGAAUUAUUUAAAAGAAACAAGCUAAACUGAUCUGAGAGAUUGAGAGCCCUACUUCUCUCAUAGAUAUCGGCGAUCAGAAGACAAGAUCACGAUGCUGACGAGCUUCUUACGGUUCAGAUUAGCGAUUAUGGUACGGGGAUCUAUUUCAACGGCCACCUUUGGCUCGGUGGCAUCGAGGAACCUGAUUGGUUCGUACAGUCGGGAAGCUCAUGUUCCCUUUCUAACCUCUUCGAUGAAGGCUACGGCGCCUACUACCAGGUCGUGGAGCAGUAUGGUCCUGGACCAGAAGGAGGAGGAGAAACAGAUCGAUGAAUCUGAUAAAAUUGCCAAAGCGGAUGGUAUGGGGGACGCAGAACAAGUGGAUCGCUCAAAGUCUAGAAAGGAGAAGUUUGGUGAUGAGGAGUACCUGCAGCGCAGAUGGGAAGAGGGACGGGUAAGGGAGUUCUUUCAGGAAUGGAAAGAGGCAUACGAGAGGGUGUACGCGAAUGCUGAGGAGGAAGAAAUGAGGUUCAAAAUAUUUGAAAGUUCGUUCAAGUUUGUUGUUGAGACAAAUUCAGAGGGUAAUUCACCGGAUUCUCUUCGAGUGGCUUUGAACCAAUUUUGUGAUCGAACCGAGGAUGAAAUGAAAGAAUAUACUGGAGCAGGAGUUGACCUUUGCGAAAUGGAAAUUAAACGAAGUCUUUUAAAGUAUUACGAUGAAGAAAGGGUGUCAAAUAUCUUGCCACAGGCUACUAUGAUGGGAUAUGAUUACUUCUGUGAGUUGGUCAAAGAUUCUGUUAUAAUUUUUAGGGCAUGGAAGAUGAUGGUUCUUUAUUGAAAAUUUACAACUCAGUCACUGGAAUACUUGAUGCACAAAACAUGAUGCCUUAGGUUUGCACAAAGUAAAGUUACCUAAGUGAUGAUGGAUCCAGAAACUGUCCUUUGGUUAUUUUGGCUCACUAAACUAAUGUUUGACAUUUUGCAUGCAGAUGAUGUGUCAGAUGAUGAUGAGUACAAUAUUAGUACUUGAGCAAGUCCUUAGCUGGUGUCGGACAGUUGCAGCAAAUCUCUAGUAGUUGGAGAUUUGGAGAUGGAUAUGUAUAAUUGGGGACUAUAUGAAGUUAGGAGAUGUUCCCUAGUUAUGUAUAAUGCUGGAGUUUAAUUUUAUUUUAUGAACUAGAGGAUGUUCCCAGUUAGGGGAUGUUCAUAUAUUUAUUCAUGUGUAAAAUGACUAGUAUAAUUAUAGAUUUUAUGAACUAGGGGUUGUUCCCUUCUCUAAUUAGGUAAUGUUUAGAUAUUGUGAGUGGAUCGUUGGAAUUUUGUUUGGAUAUCUAAAUUUAAAUUUGAAGUAGUACGGAGACAGGCGGUUGGUUCUUA
This is an RNA transcript of Tripterygium wilfordii, 1387 nucleotides long. RefSeq lists it as uncharacterized. Lineage: Eukaryota; Viridiplantae; Streptophyta; Magnoliopsida; Celastrales; Celastraceae. The record is from RefSeq and is a predicted model, not a curated record. The transcript is spliced from 4 exons.